UUUAAUAUGGCAGAUAUAAGUGCAAUGGAUUUAAAUCCCAUUUAUAAAGAUAUGUUUAUUCUUUUAUUAAUA
Molecule: transfer RNA, 72 nt
Filed under: Polyrhachis dives
Lineage: Eukaryota; Metazoa; Arthropoda; Insecta; Hymenoptera; Formicidae
Description: tRNA-Leu
Source: RNAcentral